Molecule: transfer RNA, 60 nt
Filed under: Planococcus glaciei CHR43
Lineage: Bacteria; Bacillati; Bacillota; Bacilli; Caryophanales; Caryophanaceae
Description: Planomicrobium glaciei CHR43 tRNA-Ala
Rfam family: tRNA
About the family: Transfer RNA (tRNA) molecules are approximately 80 nucleotides in length. Their secondary structure includes four short double-helical elements and three loops (D, anti-codon, and T loops).
Source: RNAcentral
UUAGCUCAGCUGGGAGAGCGCCUGCCUUGCACGCAGGAGGUCAGCGGUUCGAUCCCGCUA